This 1279-nucleotide ribosomal RNA is filed under the name metagenome. Its description in RNAcentral is "bacterial SSU rRNA". It matches the Rfam family "Bacterial small subunit ribosomal RNA", at positions 333 to 1520 of the family's 1533-position model. The record is from RNAcentral.
AACCUGCUACGGCGGGCAGCAGUAGGGAAUCUUGGACAAUGGGCGAAAGCUUGAUCCAGUGAGAAUUUGUGUGGGAGGAAGGCAACGAAGUCGUAAACCACUUUCGAUAGGGAAGAUAAUGACUGUACCUAUAGUAAGAAGUACUGACUAAUUCUGUGCCAGCAGUCGCGGUAAGACAGAAAGUGCAGACGUUAUUCGGAAUUACUGGGCGUAAAGCGUCAGUAGAUGGCUAUUGAAACUGAUUUAGAAAAGCUGGAGUAAUAACUGUAGAAGAUAAAUCACCAAUUCUUUAGCUUGAGUCAAUAGAAGGUUAUUCGGGGAAUUUCUAGUGUAAGGGUAAAAUUUCGAAAUAUUAGAAGGAACACCAAAGGCGAAGGCAUCAUUCCGCUAUUGACUGACAUUGAGUGACGAAAGCAUAGGGAGCAAACAGGGUUUGAUAUCCUGGUAGUCUAUGCAGUAAACGAUGCACAUUAAAAACAUAUUAUAUAAUAUUGUUUUACAGCUAACGCGUUAAAUGUGCCGCCUGAAGAGUACGGCCGCAAGGUUGAAAUUUAAAGGAAUUGGCGCAACUUUUACGAGCAGUGGAGUAUGUGGCUUAAUUUGAUGGUCCCCGCAGAAUCUUACCAGUCUUUGACUAAUAUUUUUCUUAUUUGUUAAAUUAAUUCAUUAUUUUCUUGCAACGAACAAUAUUGUAAGGUAAACGAUAAUGUUAAAGUUUUAUUAUAGAAUUUAACAACGUAUAAAUAUUACAUGUGUUGCAUGGUUGUCGUAAGCUCGUGAUUUGAAUCGGAUGGUUAAGUCCUACGAACGAGCGAAACCCGAAUUGUUAGUUGACAUUUUUAGCUUUUCUGCCCCUAGAAUUGAACUUUAAAUACAUACUAGCAAAACUGCUGAUGAAUCAUCAGGCGAAGGUUCGGAUUAAGGCAAAUCGUCAUGGCCAUUAAAGAUUGGGCUACUCAUGUACUACAAUGGGAAUUUCAAUAAGAAGCAAUCAAGUAAUUGGGAGCAAAUCUUAAAAACAUUCUCUAAGUCCGGCUUAUUUUCUGCAACUUGAAAAUAUGAAUGAAAGGAGGAAUUGCUAGUAAUCGCAGAUCAGCUAAGCUGCGGUGAAUAUGUACCUUAGUUGUGCACACACCGCCCGUCAAGGGCUGGUAAAGUGUUUCCUUAAAGUGGGAUAUGUGUCCUAACUGUUAUUAAACUUUUAGGAAGGCAGCUUACGUCCGGGGACACCCACUGGUCUUAAGUCGUAACAAGGUAAUGGUACGGGAACGUGCCGUUG